GAGGCCGAAAGGCGUAAUCGAUGGGAAACGGGUUAAUAUUCCCGUACUUCUGACUAUUGCGAUGGGGGGACGGAGAAGGCUAGGUGGGCCAGGCGACGGUUGUCCUGGUUCAAGUGCGUAGGCUUGAGAGUUAGGUAAAUCCGGCUCUCUUUAAGGCUGAGACACGACGUCGAGCUACUACGGUAGUGAAGUCAUUGAUGCCAUGCUUCCAGGAAAAGCCUCUAAGCUUCAGAUAGUCAGGAAUCGUACCCCAAACCGACACAGGUGGUCGGGUAGAGAAUACCAAGGCGCUUGAGAGAACUCGGGUGAAGGAACUAGGCAAAAUGGUACCGUAACUUCGGGAGAAGGUACGCUCUUGAUGGUGAAGUCCCUCGCGGAUGGAGCUGACGAGAGUCGCAGAUACCAGGUGGCUGCAACUGUUUAUUAAAAACACAGCACUGUGCAAAAUCGCAAGAUGACGUAUACGGUGUGACGCCUGCCCGGUGCCGGAAGGUUAAUUGAUGGGGUUAGCGCAAGCGAAGCUCUUGAUCGAAGCCCCGGUAAACGGCGGCCGUAACUAUAACGGUCCUAAGGUAGCGAAAUUCCUUGUCGGGUAAGUUCCGACCUGCACGAAUGGCGUAAUGAUGGCCACGCUGUCUCCACCCGAGACUCAGUGAAAUUGAAAUCGCUGUGAAGAUGCAGUGUACCCGCGGCUAGACGGAAAGACCCCGUGAACCUUUACUACAGCUUGGCACUGAACAUUGAACCUACAUGUGUAGGAUAGGUGGGAGGCUUUGAAGACGUGACGCCAGUUGCGUUGGAGCCGUCCUUGAAAUACCACCCUUGUAUGUUUGAUGUUCUAACUUAGCCCCAUUAUCUGGGGUGAGGACAGUGCCUGGUGGGUAGUUUGACUGGGGCGGUCUCCUCCCAAAGAGUAACGGAGGAGCACGAAGGUGGGCUAAUCACGGUUGGACAUCGUGAGGUUAGUGCAAUGGCAUAAGCCCGCUUAACUGCGAGAAUGACGGUUCGAGCAGGUGCGAAAGCAGGUCAUAGUGAUCCGGUGGUUCUGUAUGGAAGGGCCAUCGCUCAACGGAUAAAAGGUACUCCGGGGAUAACAGGCUGAUACCGCCCAAGAGUUCAUAUCGACGGCGGUGUUUGGCACCUCGAUGUCGGCUCAUCACAUCCUGGGGCUGAAGUCGGUCCCAAGGGUAUGGCUGUUCGCCAUUUAAAGUGGUACGCGAGCUGGGUUUAGAACGUCGUGAGACAGUUCGGUCCCUAUCUGCCGUGGGCGUUGGAAGAUUGAAGGGGGCUGCUCCUAGUACGAGAGGACCGGAGUGGACGAACCUCUGGUGUUCGGGUUGUGUCGCCAGACGCAUUGCCCGGUAGCUAAGUUCGGAAUUGAUAAGCGCUGAAAGCAUCUAAGCGCGAAGCGAGCCCUGAGAUGAGUCUUCCCUGA
Molecule: ribosomal RNA, 1435 nt
Filed under: Vibrio cholerae
Lineage: Bacteria; Pseudomonadati; Pseudomonadota; Gammaproteobacteria; Vibrionales; Vibrionaceae
Description: partial 23S ribosomal RNA
Rfam family: Bacterial large subunit ribosomal RNA
Source: RNAcentral